This is a transfer RNA of Ovis aries (sheep), 72 nucleotides long. It matches the Rfam family "tRNA". From Rfam's summary of the family: Transfer RNA (tRNA) molecules are approximately 80 nucleotides in length. Their secondary structure includes four short double-helical elements and three loops (D, anti-codon, and T loops). Further hydrogen bonds mediate the characteristic L-shaped molecular structure. tRNAs have two regions of fundamental functional importance: the anti-codon, which is responsible for specific mRNA codon recognition, and the 3' end, to which the tRNAs corresponding amino acid is attached (by aminoacyl-tRNA synthetases). tRNAs cope with the degeneracy of the genetic code in two manners: having more than one tRNA (with a specific anti-codon) for a particular amino acid; and 'wobble' base-pairing, i.e. permitting non-standard base-pairing at the 3rd anti-codon position. Lineage: Eukaryota; Metazoa; Chordata; Mammalia; Artiodactyla; Bovidae. The record is from Rfam.
UCCCUGGUGGCUCAGAUGGUAAAGAAUCUGCCUGCAACACAGGAGACCUGGGUUCGAUCCCUGGCUCGAGAA